This 586-nucleotide ribosomal RNA is filed under the name uncultured bacterium. Its description in RNAcentral is "bacterial SSU rRNA". It matches the Rfam family "Bacterial small subunit ribosomal RNA", at positions 8 to 640 of the family's 1533-position model. The record is from RNAcentral.
AGAGUUUGAUCAUGGCUCAGAACGUACGCUGGCGGCACGCCUAACACAUGCAAGUCGAACGCAGUAGCAAUACUGAGUGGCAAACGGGUGAGUAUAAUGUGGGAAUCUGCCUUUUGGUUUGGAAUAACACGAGGAAACUUGUGCUAAUACCGAAUAAGCCUUUACAGGGAAAGUUUUAACGCCGAAAGAUGAGCCCGCACUUGAUUAGCUAGUUGGUAAGGUAAAAGCUUACCAAGGCAAUGAUCAAUAGCUGUUCUUAGAGGAAGACCAGCCACAUUGGGACUGAGACACGGCCCAGACUCCUACGGGAGGCAGCAGUGGGGAAUCUUGCACAAUGGGGGAAACCCUGAUGCAGCGAUGCCGCGUGAGUGAAGAAGGCCUUUGGGUUGUAAAACUCUUUCGUCGGGGAAGAAAAUGACUGUACCCGAAUAAGAAGGUCCGGCUAACUUCGUGCCAGCAGCCGCGGUAAUACGAAGGGACCUAGCGUAGUUCGGAAUUACUGGGCUUAAAGAGCUCGUAGGUGGUUAAAAAAGUUGAUGGUGAAAUCCCAAGGCUUAACCUUGGAACUGCCAUCAAAACUUUUUAG